This 170-nucleotide unclassified non-coding RNA is filed under the name uncultured Hypomyces. RNAcentral's name for it is "sequence contains ITS1". The record is from RNAcentral. Lineage: Eukaryota; Fungi; Ascomycota; Sordariomycetes; Hypocreales; Hypocreaceae.
CCGAGUUUACAAAACUCCCAAACCCACUGUGAACCUUACCUAUUCGUUGCUUCGGCGGGACAGCCCCGGGCCCUGCGCCCGGAACCAGGCGCCCGCCGGAGGCCAAAAACUCUCAUGUUUCUCCUAGCGGAAUUCUUCUGAGUGGCCCUUAGCGGCAAGCAAAUGAAUCA